This 425-nucleotide ribosomal RNA is filed under the name uncultured bacterium. RNAcentral's name for it is "partial 16S ribosomal RNA". It matches the Rfam family "Bacterial small subunit ribosomal RNA", at positions 354 to 796 of the family's 1533-position model. The record is from RNAcentral.
GUGGGGAAUCUUAGACAAUGGGCGCAAGCCUGAUCUAGCCAUGCCGCGUGAGUGAUGAAGGCCCUAGGGUUGUAAAGCUCUUUCAGCUGGGAAGAUAAUGACGGUACCAGCAGAAGAAGCCCCGGCUAACUCCGUGCCAGCAGCCGCGGUAAUACGGAGGGGGCUAGCGUUGUUCGGAAUUACUGGGCGUAAAGCGCGCGUAGGCGGACUGAAAAGUUGGGGGUGAAAUCCCGGGGCUCAACCUCGGAACUGCCUUCAAAACUAUCAGUCUGGAGUUCGAGAGAGGUGAGUGGAAUUCCGAGUGUAGAGGUGAAAUUCGUAGAUAUUCGGAGGAACACCAGUGGCGAAGGCGGCUCACUGGCUCGAUACUGACGCUGAGGUGCGAAAGCAUGGGGAGCAAACAGGAUUAGAAACCCGAGUAGUCC